GUCAAUAAUGUUGGACUAAAUGGCCUUUAAUUCUUCUUAGCUAUAAAACUGUGUUCUUGGCACCCAGCAUUUCCAGGGCAGGAAUUCAGUCCUGUUCCCUUUUUCCUAGUCUGUGUUGAUUUGCAGACUUGUUCUUUUAGACCACAGAAUCAUGGAAGAUGUGUUUCUGGGAAUGGAAGAGAAUCAAAAAAUCCAGUCAAGUCUGAUCAUCUCACUGCACCAGACAUUCAGAGAAAGAAGAUGGAAGGUUACUUGUUUCCUAUAGAGAAUAAACCCAUUUGGCUGCUAAAAUGUCUGCAAUAAGA
Molecule: long non-coding RNA, 305 nt
Organism: Monodelphis domestica (gray short-tailed opossum)
Lineage: Eukaryota; Metazoa; Chordata; Mammalia; Didelphimorphia; Didelphidae
Source: RefSeq, a predicted model, not a curated record